CUACGGGUUGCCCCAGUGGGGAAUAUUGGACAAUGGACGAAAGUCCGAUCCAGCGACACCGCGUGGGGGAUGAAGGCUUUCGGGUUGUAAACCCCUUUUCUGGAGGAAGAAUAAGGUUGGGAGGAAAUGCCCAUCCGAUGACGGUACUCCAGGAAUAAGCAUCGGCAAACUUCGUGCCAGCAGCCGCGGUAAGACGAAGGAUGCGAGCGUUAUCCGGAAUUACUGGGCGUAAAGGACGUCUAGGCGGUUGGAUAAGUCAUUUGUGAAAUCCCAGGGCUUAACCCUGGAAGGUCUUGUGAUACUGUCCGGCUUGGGUGUAGGAGAGGAGAGCGGAACUCACAGAGUAGCGGUGGAAUGCGUAGAUACUGUGAGGUACCCCGAUGGCGAAGGCAGCUCUCUGGCCUACUACCGACGCUGAAGCGUGAAAGCGUGGGGAGCAAAGGGGAUUAGAUACCCCUGUAGUC
This 464-nucleotide ribosomal RNA is filed under the name uncultured bacterium. Its description in RNAcentral is "partial 16S ribosomal RNA". It matches the Rfam family "Bacterial small subunit ribosomal RNA", at positions 339 to 795 of the family's 1533-position model. The record is from RNAcentral.